CCCUUAGAUGUCCUGGGCCGCACGCGCGCUACACUGAUGCAUGCAACGAGUAUAUAACCUUGGCCUGAAAGGCCUGGGUAAUCUUUUGAACGUGCAUCGUGAUAGGGAUAGAUUAUUGCAAUUAUUAAUCUUGAACGAGGAAUUCCUAGUAAACGCGAGUCAUCAGCUCGCAUUGAUUACGUCCCUGCCCUUUGUACACACCGCCCGUCGCACCUACCGAUUGAAUGGUCCGGUGAAAUCUUCGGAUUGAGACUUUGUUUUCUUCACGGAAAACGCUGUUUUAAAAAGUUGAUUAAACCUUACCAUUUAGAGGAAGGUGAAGUCGUAACA
Molecule: ribosomal RNA, 330 nt
Filed under: uncultured eukaryote
Lineage: Eukaryota
Description: partial 18S ribosomal RNA
Rfam family: Eukaryotic small subunit ribosomal RNA
Source: RNAcentral